AAUUUAUGCAUCUUCUCGGAAACGAAAGUCUUUCGGUUCCGGGGGAAGUAUGGUUGCAAAGCUGAAACUUAAAGGAAUUGACGGAAGGGCACCACCAGGAGUGGAGCCUGCGGCUUAAUUUGACUCAACACGGGAAAACUCACCCGGGCCGGACACUAUAAGGAUUGACAGAUUGAUAGCUCUUUCAUGAUUUAGUGGUUGGUGGUGCAUGGCCGUUCUUAGUUCGUGGAUAUGAUUUGUCUGGUUGAUUCCGAUAACGAGCGAGACUUUUAUGUUAUAUUAAAUAUUAUUAUUUUGUUUAUUUUAAUAUAAAUAAUUAAUAUUUUAAUAACAGAUUAAUAGUGUUUAACUAUUUGAGAGAGAGCGAUAACAGGUCUGUGAUGCCCUUAGAUGUCCGGGGCUGCACGCGCGCUACAAUGUAGUGAUCAUUAUGUUCCUGUUUAGAGAUAAAUGGGUAAACAUUGAAAACAUUACGUAACUGGGAAUGAAAAUUGCAAUUAUUUUUCAUGAACGAGGAAUUCCAAGUAAACGUAAGUCAUAGC
RNAcentral lists this ribosomal RNA (542 nucleotides) under Strongyloides stercoralis. RNAcentral describes it as "SSU rRNA". It matches the Rfam family "Eukaryotic small subunit ribosomal RNA", at positions 1076 to 1634 of the family's 1831-position model. The record is from RNAcentral. Lineage: Eukaryota; Metazoa; Nematoda; Chromadorea; Rhabditida; Strongyloididae.